GGUUAAGUGACUAAGCGUAUAUGGUGGAUGCCUUGGCAGUCAGAGGCGAUGAAGGACGUAAUUACUUGCGAUAAGCGUAGAUAAGGUAGUUGUAACCAUUUGAGUCUACGAUUUCCGAAUGGGGAAACCCACGUGCAUAAGUACGUAUCAUGGCGUGAAUACAUAGCGGCAUGAAGCAAACUCGGGGAACUGAAACAUCUAAGUACCCGAAGGAAAAGAAAUCAAUUGAGAUUCCGGCAGUAGCGGCGAGCGACCCCGGACUAGCCCUUAAGUAGUUUAAGCAUUAGUGGAAUAGCCUGGAAAGGCUAGCGAUACAAGGUGAUAGCCCCGUACACGACGAUGCCUUUACUGUGAAAACGAGUAAAACGGGACACGUGAUAUCCUGUUUGAACAUGGGGGGACCAUCCUCUAAGGCUAAAUACUCCUGACUGACCGAUAGUGAACUAGUACCGUGAGGGAAAGGCGAAAAGAACCCCUGUGAGGGGAGUGAAAUAGAACCUGAAACCGUAUACGUACAAGCAGUAGGAGCCCUUUUAUGGGUGACUGCGUACCUUUUGUAUAAUGGGUCAGCGACUUACUUUUAGUAGCAAGGUUAACCAUAUAGGGGAGCCGUAGGGAAACCGAGUCUUAACUGGGCGUUAUAGUUGCUAGGAGUAGACCCGAAACCGAGUGAUCUAGCCAUGGGCAGGUUGAAGAUUGAGUAACAUCAACUGGAGGACCGAACCGACUAAUGUUGAAAAAUUAGCGGAUGACUUGUGGCUAGGGGUGAAAGGCCAAUCAAACUCGGAGAUAGCUGGUUCUCCCCGAAAUCUAUUUAGGUAGAGCCUCGGACGAAUACUACUGGGGGUAGAGCACUGUUAGGGCUAGGGGGUCAUCCCGACUUAUCAAACCUUUGCAAACUCCGAAUACCAGUAAGUACUAUCCGGGAGACACACGGCGGGUGCUAACGUCCGUCGUGGAAAGGGAAACAACCCAGACCGCCAGCUAAGGUCCCUAAGUUAUUACUAAGUGGGAAACGAUGUGGGAAGGCUUAGACAGCCAGGAUGUUGGCUUAGAAGCAGCCAUCAUUUAAAGAAAGCGUAAUAGCUCACUGGUUGAGUCGGCCUGCGCGGAAGAUGUAACGGGGCUAAGUAAUGCACCGAAGCUGCGGCAAUAUGCUUAGGUAUAUUGGGUAGGGGAGCGUUCUGUAAGCCGUUGAAGGUGAUCUGUAAGGAUUUCUGGAGGUAUCAGAAGUGCGAAUGCUGACAUAAGUAACGAUAAAGGGAGUGAAAAACUCCCUCGCCGGAAAACCAAGGGUUCCUGUCCGACGUUAAUCGGGGCAGGGUAAGUCGACCCCUAAGGCGAGGCUGAUAAGCGUAGUCGAUGGGAAACGGGUUAAUAUUCCCGUACUACUUAUAACUGCGAUGGGGGGGACGGAGAAGGCUAGGUGAGCUUGGCGUUGGUUGUCCAAGUUUAAGUGUGUAGGUGGGUGUCUUAGGCAAAUCCGAGAUACUUUUAACACUGAGGCACGAUAUCGAACCAUUAAGGUGGUGAAGUCAUUGAUGCCAUGCUUCCUGGAAAAGCCUCUAAGCUUCAGGUUAUAAGAAAUCGUACCCCAAACCGACACAGGUGGUUAGGUAGAGAAUACUAAGGCGCUUAAGAGAACUCGGGUGAAGGAACUAGGCAAAAUGGUACCGUAACUUCGGGAGAAGGUACGCUUCUGUUGGUAACGUUUCUUGCGAACAGAGCUGACGGAAGUCGAAGAUACCAGGUGGCUGCAACUGUUUACUAAAAACACAGCACUGUGCAAAAUCGAAAGAUGACGUAUACGGUGUGACGCCUGCCCGGUGCCGGAAGGUUAAUUAAUGGGGUUAUCUUCGGAGAAGCUCUUGAUCGAAGCCCCGGUAAACGGCGGCCGUAACUAUAACGGUCCUAAGGUAGCGAAAUUCCUUGUCGGGUAAGUUCCGACCUGCACGAAUGGCGUAAUGAUGGCCACACUGUCUCCACCCGAGACUUAGUGAAAUUGAAAUCGCAGUGAAGAUGCUGUGUACCCGCGGCUAGACGGAAAGACCCCGUGAACCUUUACUAUAGCUUGGCACUGAAUAUUGACCCUAUAUGUGUAGGAUAGGUGGGAGCCUUUGAAGCAUUGUCGUUAGAUGGUGUGGAGGCACUGUUGAAAUACCACCCUUGUAUGUUUAAUGUUCUAACGUUGACCCCUUAUCGGGGUUGCGGACAGUGUCUGGUGGGUAGUUUGACUGGGGCGGUCUCCUCCUAAAGAGUAACGGAGGAGUACGAAGGUGGGCUAAUCACGGUCGGACAUCGUGAGGUUAGUGCAAUGGCAUAAGCCCGCUUGACUGCGAGAAUGACAAUUCGAGCAGGUGCGAAAGCAGGUCAUAGUGAUCCGGUGGUUCUGAAUGGAAGGGCCAUCGCUCAACGGAUAAAAGGUACUCCGGGGAUAACAGGCUAAUACCGCCCAAGAGUUCAUAUCGACGGCGGUGUUUGGCACCUCGAUGUCGGCUCAUCACAUCCUGGGGCUGAAGCUGGUCCCAAGGGUAUGGCUGUUCGCCAUUUAAAGUGGUACGCGAGCUGGGUUUAGAACGUCGUGAGACAGUUCGGUCCCUAUCUGUCGUGGGCGUUGAAUGAUUGAGAGGAGCUGCUCCUAGUACGAGAGGACCGGAGUGGACGAACCUCUGGUGUUCGGGUUGUCACGCCAGUGGCAUUGCCUGGUAGCUAAGUUCGGAAUUGAUAAGCGCUGAAAGCAUCUAAGCGCGAAGCGAGCCUCAAGAUGAGUCAUUCCUAGACCUUAAAGGUCUCUAAAGGGUUGUUGAAGACUACGACGUUGAUAGGCAGGGUGUGUAAGUGCUGCGAAGUAUUGAGCUAACCUGUACUAAUUACCCGUGAGACUUAAUCAUACAACACCCAAGGGGUUUUA
RNAcentral lists this ribosomal RNA (2911 nucleotides) under Candidatus Enterovibrio altilux. RNAcentral describes it as "bacterial LSU rRNA". It matches the Rfam family "Bacterial large subunit ribosomal RNA". The record is from RNAcentral. Lineage: Bacteria; Pseudomonadati; Pseudomonadota; Gammaproteobacteria; Vibrionales; Vibrionaceae.